AAAAAGUAGAAUUUUUCAUGUGUGCUGUAUGAGACUGUAAGAUGGGGUGUGUGUGUGUGUAUGUUUUAUAUUUUCCUUGGUUCUGCAUAAAUGUUUAAACUGUAUAUUUUCCAGAGAGCUUAGCCUCUCUGAGUCAGCAGCAUCCUGCCUGUGACUAAGUAAGUGGCCCUUGGGUUGAUGAGGAUGGUAUGUGUGCUCAUUGUCCUAGAACAGAACUCUAGAAUUGUUAAAGUGAAAAGCCAUAGAAGAAAAAUUCUAUCCCCUUAGGUAUAAGUAGU
Long non-coding RNA from Perognathus longimembris pacificus (Pacific pocket mouse), 278 nucleotides. RefSeq lists it as uncharacterized. The transcript is spliced from 2 exons. Lineage: Eukaryota; Metazoa; Chordata; Mammalia; Rodentia; Heteromyidae. The record is from RefSeq and is a predicted model, not a curated record.